UAUGUGAUCGUCUCUCGCAUAUCAAUAAGCGGAGGAAAAGAAACUAACAAGGAUUCCCCUAGUAACGGCGAGUGAAGCGGGAAGAGCUCAAAUUUGAAAUCUUAAAGGGUUUCCCUUUACGAAUUGUAGUUUAAAGAAGUGUUUUCUGUUGAGGUUUUGGUAAAAGUUCUUUGGAAUAGGACAUCAUAGAGGGUGAGAAUCCCGUAUUUGACCUUUACUUUCAACUUUGUGAUACACUUUCAAAGAGUCGGAUUGUUUGGGAAUGCAGUCCAAAAUGGGUGGUAAAUUUCAUCUAAAGCUAAAUAUUGGCGAGAGACCGAUAGCGAACAAGUACCGUGAGGGAAAGAUGAAAAGAACUUUGAAAAGAGAGUUAAACAGUACGUGAAAUUGUCAAAAGGGAAGCGUUUGACACCAGUGUUGUUUUUCUGAAAAUCAAUUAAAGAACUGUUUAUGCUAAGCUGUUUAGACUUUAUCAGCUAAUCUGUUUAGUUUUGAGCUUUUCUUUAAUGCACUUUUCAGUUAACAAGUCAACAUCAAUUUCUUUUGCUGUAAAAAAGCUUGAGGAAGGUGGCUUGAGAUUCGUCUUAAGUGUUUAUAGCCUCUUGCCUAUGCAGUCGGAGAGAUUGAGGUCUGCAGCGUAGAUCCUUCGGGGCUAAAUGCAUUUGUGCUAAGUUAUAGCAUUUUAUAGACAACUUGUUGACUAUGAUUUGUCUUGUAGCUUACUCGCUUAUGUUAUUUUACCUACGCUUAGGAUGUUGAAUCUGUGCGAGACUAC
Molecule: ribosomal RNA, 775 nt
Filed under: uncultured Neocallimastigales
Lineage: Eukaryota; Fungi; Neocallimastigomycota; Neocallimastigomycetes; Neocallimastigales
Description: partial large subunit ribosomal RNA
Rfam family: Eukaryotic large subunit ribosomal RNA
Source: RNAcentral